Molecule: long non-coding RNA, 1596 nt
Filed under: Eucalyptus grandis
Lineage: Eukaryota; Viridiplantae; Streptophyta; Magnoliopsida; Myrtales; Myrtaceae
Description: long non-coding RNA (EGRA_LNC002371)
Source: RNAcentral
AGGCAAUCAAUCACAAUACCAAACACUCAUUUACAAACACAAAGGGUUUAAAUACAACACUGGACUUUCUACAAAAUAGACCAGCUCGACAAAAUGGGAACUAUCCUACAACCAACUAGCAGGACACGCUCUCCAACCCUUAUGACUUCACCUCUGCAACUCCUUAAGGCCAACCAAAGCUAUCUGGCCACUCCGUCCACCGGGGACCUAAAAUUUUAAUCCCACAACCGGGAUGAGACGAUGUCUCAGCAAGUUCAACCCCCUACCCCUAUUAGAAAGAAAAUACACCCCGGGUGGCCUAGCCACAUCACAUAGAAGACUUACCUCGCCUCAGCCUUCAUCUGCAGGUUAGCGCAAUUUAUAUAAUUCAACCACGUACAAUUAUGAUAACCAAACAACCAUGGCUCAAUCACAUUAUCAAAACAAUUCAACCACUUGGAUCGUCUCAGCGAUCAAUCGACUCGGCCGAUUACAUGUCAUUCCAACAAAUCAAUCAUUGCUCACAAUCACGGCCCUACUCGGCAAAAUUAGAAUCAGUGGCAUCACGGCCCCACUCGGCGCGACCUUUAACAGGUGGCAAUUCACGGCCCCAUUGGGCGCGACCUCUAAUAGGUGGCAUAUCACGGCCUCAUCGGGCACGACCUCUAAUAGGUGAUAUUUCACGGCCUCAUCGGGCACGACCUCUAAUAGGUGGUUUAUCACGGCCUCACUGGGCACGACCUCUCAUAGGUGGUUUAUCACGGCCUCACUGGGCACGACCUCUCAUAGGUGGUAUUUCACGACCUCAUCGGGCACGACCUCUAAUAGGUGGUUUAUCACGGCCUCACUGGGCACGACCUCUCAUAGGUGGUUUAUCACGGCCUCACUGGGCACAACCUCUAAUAGGUGGUCAAUCACGGCCAAUCUCCCAUCAAUUUCUACACUUAGGAUUUCAUAAAGAAUCCCUAUAUAUCGCAAUCACACUCAAUUUGCCAUAACCAAUCAUCAAUAUCAAAUUCUAAAUGCAUAGCAGCGAUCGGAACGAAAUUCUGAGAGUUUAGGGUCCUGACAAAAUUUUCUGAAUUUAUUAAAUAAUUAAAUUUAUUCCGAAAAUAAUUAAAUAAUAAUAUUCAUAUUUUUCACGAUCCACACUCAAUUUAUAAUAUCCAAUCAUCAAUUUCAAAAUCCAACUGCACAGCAGCGAUCGGCACGAAAUUCUGAGCAACCGGGAUCAAAAAUAAUUUUUCCGUUUUUUUUUUCAAAUAAUAAUAUUUUAAUAAUUUCGGAAUUAAUAUAAUAUUAUAAAUUUCCAGAAUUUCGAAGCAAUUAAAUAAUUCAAAAUUAAAACCCCAUUAUGUCACAUCAAGGCUUUAUAUUAAAAACAAACAUACUUAACUUUAAACUAAACACACUUUAACUUAAUUAAACACCAUAAUCCAAUCAUCAACCAAAUAAACUAAUUUAACCAACUAAGCUUACUUAACUUAGGCUAAGCACACUUAGGGCAUCAUUAACCGUCUAAUCAAGGUUUAGUGAGUUAAACUCACCGGAUUAGCGAGCCGAGCGGACCAAAACGACGAGGGCGACGCGAGGAUCGACUUUCCUCAAAGCGGGCCG